GCCAGACUCCUACGGGAGGCAGCAGUGGGGAAUAUUGCACAAUGGGGGGAACCCUGAUGCAGCGACGCCGCGUGGGUGAAGGAGCACCUCGGUGCGUAAAGCCCUAUCGGCAGGGAAGAAAAGCGAACAGGUUCGCCUGGACGGGACCUGGCUAAGAAGCCCCGGCUAACUACGUGCCAGCAGCCGCGGUAAUACGUAGGGGGCAAGCGUUAUCCGGAUUCACUGGGUGUAAAGGGAGCGUAGACGGCGACGCAAGUCUGGAGUGAAAGCCCGGGGCCCAACCCCGGGACUGCUCUGGAAACUGCGUCGCUGGAGUACGGGAGGGGCAGGCGGAAUUCCUGGUGUAGCGGUGAAAUGCGUAGAUAUCAGGAGGAACACCGGUGGCGAAGGCGGCCUGCUGGACUGCGACUGACGUUGAGGCCCGAAGGCCAGGGGAGCGAAAGGGAUUAGAUACCCUUGUAA
RNAcentral lists this ribosomal RNA (462 nucleotides) under uncultured bacterium. RNAcentral's name for it is "bacterial SSU rRNA". It matches the Rfam family "Bacterial small subunit ribosomal RNA", at positions 330 to 793 of the family's 1533-position model. The record is from RNAcentral.